GAGUUCCGCGAGUUCGGAACUGUUGUUGACAGAAGGCUCGUGUGUAAAAUAUGAUGGAAAAUCGAAGAGUUUUAUCGAUCAUUUUUGAUCUGGAUAACACGCUGAUCGAUACAGCCGGCGCAGGAAGAGUGGCCAUUCAGAAGGUGUGUGAGGUGCUGAAGUCUACAUCUGUGCCAGAAAGCCACAUCACAGACAUCUGUGAGCUUUUCUUACAAAAGCUUUUCCAUGGAACAUUCGACCCAUCAGAAGGCAGAACGAUCAAUGAAGUGAGGAUCCAUCAAUGGUAUGAAGCCCUACAGGAGGUGCUGGGCACAGAUCCUGAUCUAGCCAUGGCCUCCAGCUGUUACUACACAUGGAAGAACACACGUCUACAGGCGCUGACUCUGUCUCCUGAGAUUCGAUCUCUGCUGGAGGAACUUAAGAAGAACUACAAAUUGCUGCUGCUCACCAACGGCGAUGCUCAGACCCAGCGGGACAAGAUCGAGGCAACGAGAUGUGAAGGCCUCUUUAGUGCGGUGGUAGUGGGUGGAGAGCACCCUGAGCAAAAGCCGGCACUCUCUAUCUUCAGUCACUGUUUUGAGUCGCUGGGAGUCCAACCGCACGACUGCAUCAUGGUGGGUGAUUCUCUCAGUACAGAUAUCCAGGGGGGCAUUAAUGCAGGAGUGAAGGCAACCGUGUGGAUCAACAGUGAUGGUAAAUCUCUCCCACCAGGCUCUGUGACUCCAGACUACACUCUACCUAGUGUACUAAAUCUGACUGAUGUUCUAGCUCAACUGACAUGAUGUCAGCUUAUGAGGACAUGAAGAUGAACGUGGUACCUUCAGGCGUUUGGAAAUUGCUCCCAAGGAUGAACCAGACUUGUGGAGGUUCACAAUUUCUUUCUGAGGUCUUGGAUGAUUUCUUUUCAAGCAAAGAGGCACUGAGUUCGAAGAAUCACAGUCCAAUACAAAGCUACCUGCCAUCAUUUGGUGUAAGAAACACAUAUUUUGUGCCAACAGUAAUAGUACCGAAAAGGUCAGAAUGUUACUUAAAAGACAAUUAACCAAAAAUAUUUCAAAUUAGAGCACACAUCAAAGUAAUAACAGAACUGCUUUAAUAAUUAAUAUUACUGAAUAGGAUUCUCUAUAAAAUAGCAUUUAUUUUAGCUGUCAGGAUUAAUGAUCAUAACAUAUUUUAAAGAAUGAAUCUUUCAAUUUAGUCAAUGUUCAUUUCAUGCUAGUUUAACAAUUGCCCCCAACCUAACAGACAAGAUAAAAUCGUGAAGCUUACACGUGAGUGUCAUCGACUUUAAACCAACCUAAAUAAGUUGCUAUAAAAAUGUACAUUCAAAAGGCCUAACAAAUUCAGACAGCAGAAGAAAAAUAUCUUUUUUAUACCUUACAUUUUUUCUUUUUCUACAAAUUGAUUGCACAAUCUUUUCAGGCAGAUUAAGAACAUUAUUGUGCAUAUACAGAAUAAUUGUCAUUACUCCAGCUUGUGAUUGAGGACAUUUAGAGCAUUACAACUGCCCUCCGUCUCCUCUACUGUAUGAAAUCUGUUAAUUUAAAACAGUCCACAUAGUAAAAUUAUUCACAGAGAAAACAGCAGCAAAUAAUACAAAAUAGCACUCUUUAUGUUGUUUUGGAUAUAUGCAUCUGCUAAAUGAAUAAAUGGAACCAUUUAUAACCAUCACUUGAAUCCAGACAUUUCAGGGUGAGACAUGUGAACACUCAUGUGAAAAAAUAUUAUACAUUGAGGCACUUUAUUUACCAUGCAGGCAAAGCAACUGAACGCAGUCAAAUAAUAUUAC
Molecule: RNA transcript, 1789 nt
Organism: Myxocyprinus asiaticus (Chinese sucker)
Lineage: Eukaryota; Metazoa; Chordata; Actinopteri; Cypriniformes; Catostomidae
Gene name: N-acylneuraminate-9-phosphatase-like
Exons: 4
Source: RefSeq, a predicted model, not a curated record